This 479-nucleotide ribosomal RNA is filed under the name uncultured anaerobic ammonium-oxidizing bacterium. RNAcentral's name for it is "bacterial SSU rRNA". It matches the Rfam family "Bacterial small subunit ribosomal RNA", at positions 364 to 833 of the family's 1533-position model. The record is from RNAcentral.
UUUCGCAAUGCCCGAAAGGGUGACGAAGCGACGCCGCGUGCGGGAAGAAGGCCUUCGGGUUGUAAACCGCUGUCGGGAGUUAAGAAAUGUAAGGAUGUUAAUAGCAUCUUUGCUUGACUAAGGCUCCGGAGGAAGCCACGGCUAACUCUGUGCCAGCAGCCGCGGUAAUACAGAGGCGGCAAGCGUUGUUCGGAAUUAUUGGGCGUAAAGAGCACGUAGGCGACUAUGUAAGUCGGUUGUGAAAGCCUUCCGCUCAACGGGAGAACAGCAUCCGAUACUGCAUGGCUUGAGUGCGGGAGGGGAGAGUGGAACUUCUGGUGGAGCGGUGAAAUGCGUAGAUAUCAGAAGGAACGCCGGCGGCGAAAGCGGCUCUCUGGCCCAUAACUGACGCUGAGUGUGCGAAAGCUAGGGGAGCAAACGGGAUUAGAUACCCCGGUAGUCCUAACUGUAAACGAUGGGCACUAAGUAGAGGGGUUUUA